This 392-nucleotide ribosomal RNA is filed under the name uncultured bacterium. Its description in RNAcentral is "partial 16S ribosomal RNA". It matches the Rfam family "Bacterial small subunit ribosomal RNA", at positions 523 to 918 of the family's 1533-position model. The record is from RNAcentral.
ACACGUAGGGGCCUGACGUUGUUCGGAAUCAUUGGGCGUAAAGGGCGCGCAGGCGGCCGUCCAAGUCCGGUGUUAAAUGGUCGGGCUCAACCCGAUCAUGCGCUGGAAACUGGGCGGCUGGAGUCCCGGAGGGGAUGCCGGAAUUCCAGGUGUAGGGGUGAAAUCUGUAGAUAUCUGGAAGAACACCGAUGGCGAAGGCAGGCAUCUGGCCGGAGACUGACGCUGAGGCGCGAAGGUGCGGGGAGCGAACAGGUUUAGAUGCCCUGGUAGUCCGCGCAGUAAACGAUGCGCACCAGGUGUCGGGCGGCAGCGCCCGGUACCGGAGCAAACGCGAUGAGUGCGCCGCCUGGGGAGUAUGCCCGCAAGGGUGAAACUCAAAUGAAUUGACGGGG